This 2902-nucleotide ribosomal RNA is filed under the name Salmonella enterica subsp. arizonae. RNAcentral describes it as "bacterial LSU rRNA". It matches the Rfam family "Bacterial large subunit ribosomal RNA". Lineage: Bacteria; Pseudomonadati; Pseudomonadota; Gammaproteobacteria; Enterobacterales; Enterobacteriaceae. The record is from RNAcentral.
UUAAGCGACCAAGCGUACACGGUGGAUGCCCUGGCAGUCAGAGGCGAUGAAGGACGUGCUAAUCUGCGAAAAGCGCCGGUAAGGUGAUAUGAACCGUUAUAACCGGCGAUGUCCGAAUGGGGAAACCCAGUGUGACUCGUCACACUAUCAUUAACUGAAUCCAUAGGUUAAUGAGGCGAACCGGGGGAACUGAAACAUCUAAGUACCCCGAGGAAAAGAAAUCAACCGAGAUUCCCCCAGUAGCGGCGAGCGAACGGGGAGGAGCCCAGAGCCUGAAUCAGUAUGUGUGUUAGUGGAAGCGUCUGGAAAGGCGCGCGAUACAGGGUGACAGCCCCGUACACAAAAGCGCAUAUGCUGUGAGCUCGAUGAGUAGGGCGGGACACGUGGUAUCCUGUCUGAAUAUGGGGGGACCAUCCUCCAAGGCUAAAUACUCCUGACUGACCGAUAGUGAACCAGUACCGUGAGGGAAAGGCGAAAAGAACCCCGGCGAGGGGAGUGAAACAGAACCUGAAACCGUGUACGUACAAGCAGUGGGAGCAUGAGUUUACUCAUGUGACUGCGUACCUUUUGUAUAAUGGGUCAGCGACUUAUAUUCUGUAGCAAGGUUAACCGAAUAGGGGAGCCGGAGGGAAACCGAGUCUUAACCGGGCGUUAAGUUGCAGGGUAUAGACCCGAAACCCGGUGAUCUAGCCAUGGGCAGGUUGAAGGUUGGGUAACACUAACUGGAGGACCGAACCGACUAAUGUUGAAAAAUUAGCGGAUGACCUGUGGCUGGGGGUGAAAGGCCAAUCAAACCGGGAGAUAGCUGGUUCUCCCCGAAAGCUAUUUAGGUAGCGCCUCGUGAAUUCAUCUCCGGGGGUAGAGCACUGUUUCGGCCAGGGGGCCAUCCCGGCUUACCAACCCGAUGCAAACUGCGAAUACCGGAGAAUGUUAUCACGGGAGACACACGGCGGGUGCUAACGUCCGUCGUGAAGAGGGAAACAACCCAGACCGCCAGCUAAGGUCCCAAAGUCAUGGUUAAGUGGGAAACGAUGUGGGAAGGCCCAGACAGCCAGGAUGUUGGCUUAGAAGCAGCCAUCAUUUAAAGAAAGCGUAAUAGCUCACUGGUCGAGUCGGCCUGCGCGGAAGAUGUAACGGGGCUAAACCAUGCACCGAAGCUGCGGCAGCGACACUGUGUGUUGUUGGGUAGGGGAGCGUUCUGUAAGCCUGCGAAGGUGGCCUGUGAGGGUUGCUGGAGGUAUCAGAAGUGCGAAUGCUGACAUAAGUAACGAUAAUGCGGGUGAAAAACCCGCACGCCGGAAGACCAAGGGUUCCUGUCCAACGUUAAUCGGGGCAGGGUGAGUCGACCCCUAAGGCGAGGCCGAAAGGCGUAGUCGAUGGGAAACAGGUUAAUAUUCCUGUACCUGGUGUUACUGCGAAGGGGGGACGGAGAAGGCUAUGUUGGCCGGGCGACGGUUGUCCCGGUUUAAGCGUGCAGGCUGGUUUUCCAGGCAAAUCCGGAAAAUCAAGGCUGAGGCGUGACGACGAGGCACUACGGUGCUGAAGCAACAAAUGCCCUGCUUCCAGGAAAAGCCUCUAAGCCUCAGGUAACAUCAGAUCGUACCCGAAACCGACACAGGUGGUCAGGUAGAGAAUACCAAGGCGCUUGAGAGAACCCGGGUGAAGGAACUAGGCAAAAUGGUGCCGUAACUUCGGGAGAAGGCACGCUGACACGUAGGUGAAGCGGUUUACCCGUGGAGCUGAAGUCAGUCGAAGAUACCAGCUGGCUGCAACUGUUUAUUAAAAACACAGCACUGUGCAAACACGAAAGUGGACGUAUACGGUGUGACGCCUGCCCGGUGCCGGAAGGUUAAUUGAUGGGGUCAGCGCAAGCGAAGCUCCUGAUCGAAGCCCCGGUAAACGGCGGCCGUAACUAUAACGGUCCUAAGGUAGCGAAAUUCCUUGUCGGGUAAGUUCCGACCUGCACGAAUGGCGUAAUGAUGGCCAGGCUGUCUCCACCCGGGACUCAGUGAAAUUGAACUCGCUGUGAAGAUGCAGUGUACCCGCGGCAAGACGGAAAGACCCCGUGAACCUUUACUAUAGCUUGACACUGAACACUGGUCCUUGAUGUGCAGGAUAGGUGGGAGGCUUUGAAGUGUGGACGCCAGUCUGCAUGGAGCCAUCCUUGAAAUACCACCCUUUAAUGGCUGGUGUUCUAACGUAGACCCGUGAACCGGGUUGCGGACAGUGUCUGGUGGGUAGUUUGACUGGGGCGGUCUCCUCCUAAAGCGUAACGGAGGAGCACGAAGGUUGGCUAAUCCUGGUCGGACAUCAGGAGGUUAGUGCAAUGGCAUAAGCCAGCUUGACUGCGAGCGUGACGGCGCGAGCAGGUGCGAAAGCAGGUCAUAGUGAUCCGGUGGUUCUGAAUGGAAGGGCCAUCGCUCAACGGAUAAAAGGUACUCCGGGGAUAACAGGCUGAUACCGCCCAAGAGUUCAUAUCGACGGCGGUGUUUGGCACCUCGAUGUCGGCUCAUCACAUCCUGGGGCUGAAGUAGGUCCCAAGGGUAUGGCUGUUCGCCAUUUAAAGUGGUACGCGAGCUGGGUUUAGAACGUCGUGAGACAGUUCGGUCCCUAUCUGCCGUGGGCGCUGGAGAACUGAGGGGGGCUGCUCCUAGUACGAGAGGACCGGAGUGGACGCAUCACUGGUGUUCGGGUUGUCAUGCCAAUGGCACUGCCCGGUAGCUAAAUGCGGAAGAGAUAAGUGCUGAAAGCAUCUAAGCACGAAACUUGCCCCGAGAUGAGUUCUCCCUGAGACUUUAGUCUCCUGAAGGAACGUUGAAGACGACGACGUUGAUAGGCCGGGUGUGUAAGCGCAGCGAUGCGUUGAGCUAACCGGUACUAAUGAACCGUGAGGCUUAACCUU